GUCCAUGCCGUAAACGAUGUCUACUAGCCGUUGGGCCUUUGAGGCUUUAGUGGCGCAGCUAACGCGAUAAGUAGACCGCCUGGGGAGUACGGUCGCAAGACUAAAACUCAAAGGAAUUGACGGGGACCCGCACAAGCGGUGGAUGAUGUGGAUUAAUUCGAUGCAACGCGAAGAACCUUACCUGGUCUUGACAUGUACGGAAUCCUCCAGAGACGGAGGAGUGCCUUCGGGAACCGUAACACAGGUGCUGCAUGGCUGUCGU
RNAcentral lists this ribosomal RNA (262 nucleotides) under uncultured bacterium. RNAcentral describes it as "partial 16S ribosomal RNA". It matches the Rfam family "Bacterial small subunit ribosomal RNA", at positions 793 to 1055 of the family's 1533-position model. The record is from RNAcentral.